AUGGCGGAACGAGAGGGGUGCCAUAGCGACGAAUCCGAAAAUGAUGCCAAGGCACAUAUCGGUUCCGGUAGCACAAGGUGGUCUUCGAGGGACUUGGCGCGGGUCCAUGGGAGUGAGGCAGGGGCGCGCCGGUCCAAGCAAUCUAACCAAAGGGCAAGGUCGAUGGAGGUGCGGGAACAGUGGGCGACUGCGGAGGAAGGCGGUGGCUUGGCGGCUGAUCUAGAGCAGGGAAGCAGAGGCCGACGGACGACGGGGAUGGCCUCUGCGACGAACACCACGGGCGGCGGUGCUGCAAUUCUCCAUGGCCUCGACGUGGUUCCUCAUCUGAGGCAGCAACGGCGAGGGUGA
This 348-nucleotide ribosomal RNA is filed under the name Triticum aestivum (bread wheat). Its description in RNAcentral is "partial small subunit ribosomal RNA". Lineage: Eukaryota; Viridiplantae; Streptophyta; Magnoliopsida; Poales; Poaceae. The record is from RNAcentral.